RNAcentral lists this ribosomal RNA (516 nucleotides) under Triticum aestivum (bread wheat). Its description in RNAcentral is "partial small subunit ribosomal RNA". Lineage: Eukaryota; Viridiplantae; Streptophyta; Magnoliopsida; Poales; Poaceae. The record is from RNAcentral.
AUGGAAGUUUGCCCACCGGUUGUUGACCCUGGCGACCCUCCUGCGUCCUAUGCUAACUGGUUUCGUCAAAAGCCUCGUGAAUGGCAGUGCAGAACGCCUUGUGUAGGCUGGAGAGCCACCACAUGGAUCCUAUCGAUCUCAAAUGUUACAUCUGCAAAGUGGAACAUUAACUGCACCUUUGAUAUUGCUGAUGUCACUGUCGACCCAAUGCAUUCUGAGCUGCUGCCUAAGCCGAGCAGCAUCAACGACAAUCCCAGUGAAGCAUCAUUGCAGUGCCUCGUCAUUGGUUUUCCCACCAUGAGCAUGGAUGAGGAUGUUGUCUACAUGCUGUCUAAGGCCUGCCCCAUGGGUUCGAUGGAAGUUGUGAUUGCUAUUGACAUGAAGAAGAAGAAGGUGCAAGGAGUUGCGAAGCUUGUUACCGGAAAAGACUUCACUUAUACGCGUAACUGCACCAGCGAAGUCUCCAAAUAUCUUAGUGAAGACAAGGCACAAGUUAAGCUUGAUGAGCAGACAUAA